UAGGGAAUCUUCCACAAUGGACGCAAGUCUGAUGGAGCAACGCCGCGUGAGUGAAGAAGGUUUUCGGACCGUAAAGCUCUGUUGUUGGUGAAGAAGGAUAGAGGUAGUAACUGGCCUUUAUUUGACGGUAAUCAACCAGAAAGUCACGGCUAACUACGUGCCAGCAGCCGCGGUAAUACGUAGGUGGCAAGCGUUGUCCGGAUUUAUUGGGCGUAAAAGCGAGCGCAGGCGGAAGAAUAAGUCUGAUGUGAAAGCCCUCGGCUUAACCGAGGAAUUGCAUCGGAAACUGUU
This 291-nucleotide ribosomal RNA is filed under the name uncultured bacterium. RNAcentral's name for it is "partial 16S ribosomal RNA". It matches the Rfam family "Bacterial small subunit ribosomal RNA", at positions 355 to 637 of the family's 1533-position model. The record is from RNAcentral.